ACCCGCUGAACUUAAGCAUAUCAAUAAGCGGAGGAAAAGAAACCAACAGGGAUUGCCCUAGUAACGGCGAGUGAAGCGGCAACAGCUCAAAUUUGAAAUCUGGCGUCUUUGGCGUCCGAGUUGUAAUUUGCAGAGGGCGCUUUGGCAUUGGCAGCGGUCCAAGUUCCUUGGAACAGGACGUCACAGAGGGUGAGAAUCCCGUACGUGGUCGCUAGCCUUUACCGUGUAAAGCCCCUUCGACGAGUCGAGUUGUUUGGGAAUGCGGCUCUAAAUGGGAGGUAAAUUUCUUCUAAAGCUAAAUACUGGCCAGAGACCGAUAGCGCACAAGUAGAGUGAUCGAAAGAUGAAAAGCACUUUGGAAAGAGAGUUAAAAAGCACGUGAAAUUGUUGAAAGGGAAGCGCUUGCAGCCAGACUUGCCUGUAGUUGCUCAUCCGGGUUUUUACCCGGUGCACUCUUCUAUAGGCAGGCCAGCAUCAGUUUGGGCGGUUGGAUAAAGGUCUCUGUCAUGUACCUCUCUUCGGGGAGAACUUAUAGGGGAGACGACAUGCAACCAGCCCGGACUGAGGUCCGCGCAUCUGCUAGGAUGCUGGCGUAAUGGCUGU
RNAcentral lists this ribosomal RNA (603 nucleotides) under uncultured fungus. RNAcentral describes it as "eukaryotic LSU rRNA". It matches the Rfam family "Eukaryotic large subunit ribosomal RNA", at positions 23 to 641 of the family's 3401-position model. Lineage: Eukaryota; Fungi. The record is from RNAcentral.